GCAACAGCGGUGGUGCAAUGGUUAGCACGUAUCUCCAAAAAAGGUGAGACCUGGGCUCAACUCCCACUCGAGGUUGCA
Molecule: non-coding RNA, 78 nt
Organism: Parelaphostrongylus tenuis
Lineage: Eukaryota; Metazoa; Nematoda; Chromadorea; Rhabditida; Metastrongylidae
Source: the annotation of a GenBank genome assembly